CGCUGGCGGUAGGCCUAACACAUGCAAGUCGAACGGCAGCACAGUAAGAGCUUGCUCUUCCGGGUGGCGAGUGGCGGACGGGUGAGGAAUACAUCGGAAUCUACUUUUUCGUGGGGGAUAACGUAGGGAAACUUACGCUAAUACCGCAUACGACCUACGGGUGAAAGCAGGGGAUCUUCGGACCUUGCGCGAUUGAAUGAGCCGAUGUCGGAUUAGCUAGUUGGCGGGGUAAAGGCCCACCAAGGCGACGAUCCGUAGCUGGUCUGAGAGGAUGAUCAGCCACACUGGAACUGAGACACGGUCCAGACUCCUACGGGAGGCAGCAGUGGGGAAUAUUGGACAAUGGGCGCAAGCCUGAUCCAGCCAUACCGCGUGGGUGAAGAAGGCCUUCGGGUUGUAAAGCCCUUUUGUUGGGAAAGAAAAGCAGCAGGUUAAUACCCCGCUGUUCUGACGGUACCCAAAGAAUAAGCACCGGCUAACUUCGUG
RNAcentral lists this ribosomal RNA (486 nucleotides) under uncultured bacterium. RNAcentral describes it as "partial 16S ribosomal RNA". It matches the Rfam family "Bacterial small subunit ribosomal RNA", at positions 34 to 507 of the family's 1533-position model. The record is from RNAcentral.